Panicum virgatum (switchgrass) is the source of this 109-nucleotide small nucleolar RNA. NCBI's taxonomy places the organism in Eukaryota, Viridiplantae, Streptophyta, Magnoliopsida, Poales, Poaceae. The record is from RefSeq and is a predicted model, not a curated record.
AUGCCAUGGUGAGGACAGGAAAGGAUGUAUUCCUGCAGUCUUUCCUAAGCUUCUGGGAUGGAUUCCAUCACCGUCUGCUAGAAACUUGAAAUUCUUCCUUGCAUGGCAU